Molecule: long non-coding RNA, 1002 nt
Organism: Echinops telfairi (small Madagascar hedgehog)
Lineage: Eukaryota; Metazoa; Chordata; Mammalia; Afrosoricida; Tenrecidae
Exons: 5
Source: RefSeq, a predicted model, not a curated record
CCUGGGACUUUAAUAACUCACGUCCCUCCCUGUUCUCUCCACCCCUGACCAGGAGUGAAUGCCGAGUCACAGAAAUCCUUUCCACGUGGUCCCCCACACCCUGCUUUGUGAGCGAGGCAGACGCAGAGGGCGGCCCUGAAGAGGAACCAAGGCUCCCGGAGAUGAGAGGUGACCAAGCCAGCCCCCUCCCCAGCGCAGUGGGUUGCCGUUCCAGAAACUUGCAUUUGUAAGGGGACGCUGGAUCACAGAUGAGCGCUUGAUCAAAGGAAGGUCUUUAUAGAGGCUCCUUGUGGUGUCCCCAUCUUCCUUCCUCUCUUCCGUGUGACCCGAGUUUUAUUCGCAAAACACGUGAAGACUGACCGGAGUUGGCCAGCUCAGCUGCACACCACUACCUUUCUGCACGGUCUGCAACAGGGCUUGGAAGUACUGGGCAAACAGAGCUGGGUGGGGUGCUCUUACGACACCCCAUACACACAUACACAAUAAAUGCAUAUUCGCCUCUCCAUGGCUGAUAACACCACGUUCAUCAUUCUCAGUCCAGAAGAAGGGAGAUAGCCACACAGCCUGAUGGACGAGAAGAGAAGUGUUCCAGUUGACUGUGGUCGCUGUUAAACUGCAAGCAGUUCACGGUCUACCUGGUGGAUCAAGAGAAAGCCACUGCAAGAUGAGGACAAGGCGACCCAUCAUCUCCGGACCCUUCCGCCUGAUGUCUGGGGGAACCCAGGGCUCUGUGGUGGGCACCAGCGAUUUUAACGACCAGAGAGAAAAAGGACACAAAAAGCGUUUCUACUCAUGGAGUUACAUUCCAGAAGGGGAGACAGACAAUAAACGACAUCCUUUCAUCUCAGAGGGUGAUUCUGCCGGUAAAGAAAAAUAAAGAAAGAGAACAUGCAUCUAGUAAAAUGCAAUAAAGAGAUUUAAAAAGCGGACCGGGAUGUCAAGGGGGCGUUCUCCACUGACCUGGCAUGCCCAGUAAAGACGUCACUUGCAAGCCAGCACGAG